AUUCCCGCCACGACGUAAGCCAAGCCAUGAGUGAUGACGACAAGCUGAUCGACCUGAAUGCCGAACGCGCCAAGCGCGUGCACGACCUCAAUGACAAACGCUUGAAUGAAGUGCGCCAAGCCUUUGAACAAGCCAUGCCCUUGGGCAAACCCAAGAAGAAGUCGAAGAACAAACCGAAAAAGCGUUGAAACAGCCUGCAUCUGUUGAUGCAGGUCAGUUAUUACCCUUCUUUACGCCCCGUUACGGGCGACAUUGAUCCCGGUCAAUUUCCCGCUGCGUCUUCUCCAUUAACUUAGCCCUAUCGCAACAGGGCACGUGCAGGAGGCCGGUCAUGUUUUUCGAUAAUGUGGUUUUUGCCGGAGUGCUGACUGUCAGCCUCAUGGUGCUGUUUUUUGUAGGGUUUGGAUUUUUUAUCUGGAAAGACGCUAACAAGCGUAAAAAACCGUAGGUCUUUUCAGAUUACAUGGGCACGCAAGGCAUUUUGGGCGACUUCGGUCGCCCUUUUUUUU
This 509-nucleotide unclassified non-coding RNA is filed under the name Pseudomonas synxantha. RNAcentral's name for it is "PhrS". The stretch from base 293 to 509 matches the Rfam family "PhrS". Lineage: Bacteria; Pseudomonadati; Pseudomonadota; Gammaproteobacteria; Pseudomonadales; Pseudomonadaceae. The record is from RNAcentral.